UGGGGAAUUUUGGACAAUGGGCGCAAGCCUGAUCCAGCCAUGCCGCGUGAGUGAAGAAGGCCUUCGGGUUGUAAAGCUCUUUCGGCUGGGACGAAAAGGUCCGUGCUAACACCAUGGAUCGAUGACGGUACCAGCAGAAGAAGCACCGGCUAACUACGUGCCAGCAGCCGCGGUAAUACGUAGGGUGCAGGCGUUAAUCGGAAUUACUGGGCGUAAAGCGUGCGCAGGCGGUUUGCUAAGACAGGUGUGAAAUCCCCGGGCUUAACCUGGGAACUGCGCUUGUAACUGGCAAGCUUGAGUGUGGCAGAGGGGGUGGAAUUCCAGGUGUAGCAGUGAAAUGCGUAGAGAUCUGGAGGGACACCGAUGGCGAAGGCAGCCCCCUGGGCUAACACUGACGCUCAUGCACGAAAGCGUGGGGAGC
This 421-nucleotide ribosomal RNA is filed under the name uncultured bacterium. RNAcentral's name for it is "bacterial SSU rRNA". It matches the Rfam family "Bacterial small subunit ribosomal RNA", at positions 355 to 769 of the family's 1533-position model. The record is from RNAcentral.